This is an RNA transcript of Pocillopora damicornis (cauliflower coral), 237 nucleotides long. RefSeq lists it as uncharacterized. The record is from RefSeq and is a predicted model, not a curated record. Lineage: Eukaryota; Metazoa; Cnidaria; Anthozoa; Scleractinia; Pocilloporidae.
CAGCUUUCAAAAGGACUUGGAGGCAUUUCCAAUUUCAAAAGACGAGGAAGUAAAGUUGGUGAUGUUUAUGCUGGAACUUCAAGGCGAAUCAAAGGGUCUUUCUGUUGGCGGACUGGCAGUGAUCAACAAAUCAAUGUCUCUAACAAUUGUCGGGGUAAUUAUUUCCUACUUUGCCGUUAUGCUGUCCCUGCCAAAGCGAUGAUUUUGAAAGGAAACGUUUUGCAACAGAGAGAGCCA